This is a long non-coding RNA of Malaclemys terrapin pileata, 4422 nucleotides long. RefSeq lists it as uncharacterized. The transcript has 3 exons. Lineage: Eukaryota; Metazoa; Chordata; Testudines; Emydidae. The record is from RefSeq and is a predicted model, not a curated record.
ACGGCACAGAUGGGGACACGGCCACACUGACCUAUGGGUUAUGGGUUUCCUCUGGAAAGAGGAAGCUCGUCCCGAGGCUCUGAGGCCUCCAACAAUUCACAUCCCAGAUUCCAUGAAGCUGAGACUUUGUGUGCCGUUCGGAGAGGGCCGGGCUGUUUUCCCUCUUUUCAAUUAUAAAUACCAAACCAUCCCCUAUGGAAGGAAGAACCAUUCUUCACCCACCUAUUGUGGACAGACAGACCUGGAUGGAUUUAAAGGGGGGAGGUGGUGACUGCCGCCCCUCCCCCUACAAACACACACGAUCCAGCUGGAUAGUUUUGUUUUAUUUGGGAAAUUCUGAACCCGUCAAAUGAGUUCCUGGAGCAGCUGGAAAUCCUGGGCAGAGCUCAGGUCUCAGGAAGGGGCACAGCUGACUUGUAUUUUGGUGGGGGUGGGAGGCUUGAAAUUCAGCCAGCAGGGCUGGGGAACCUGAUGUCACCGGAACGUGAGGAGGCAAACCAGACACAGGGUGAUUGAAACGUAAAAAGGCCAUUCACAGUUGGAUGCCAUGUUCCAGCCAGGUGGGUCCCAGGAUAUUAAAGAAACAAGGUGGUUGAGGCGACAUCUUUUACCGUGGACCAACUUCUGUUGGUGAGAGAGAGAGCUACACAGAACUCUUCUUCAGGGCUGGGAAAGGUACUUAGACCAUGUCUGCAUGGGCACUUUCGUUGUUAAAACUUUUGUCGCUCAGGGGUGUGAAAAAAACACUCUCCCAGUGACAAAGCUACGGCCCCUCAUAGGGGGUGGUUUUAUUUUGUCAUCAGGACAGCUCUCUCCCAGUGAAAAAGAGUGGCUACACUGCGCGGCGGCAGUGUCACAGCCACGCCGGUGUAUGGUGCUCCGUGUAGACAUAGCCUAAGGCCUUGUCUACACUGGCAAGUUUCUGCGCAGUAAAGCAGCUUUCUGUGGUGUAACGCCCGAGGUGCGAGCCACUUGGUGCGCAGAAACUGCGCAGUUGCAGCGCUGUAAAAAAACCACCCCAAUGAGAGGCAUACAGCUUUCUGCGCCUGUGGUGUCAGUGUAGACACCCUGGUCAAUUACAGCGCUGUGAUUGGCCUCCAGGAGGUGUCCCACAAUGCCUGUUCUCGCCUCUCUGGUCAUCGGUUUGAACUCUACUGCCCUGCCCUCAGAUGACCAACUGUCAUUCCCACCCCUUAAAUUCCUUGGGAAUUUUGAAAGUCCCCUUCCUGUUUGCUCAGUGACAUGUGAAGCGGUCUCAGCGCAUCUUUCCAGGUGACCAUACCUGCUCCACGCACCAGGCAAUCCCCCACUUGGAGCAAUGCCAAGCUGCUGGACUUCAUCAGCAUUUGGGGGAGAGAAGGCUGUCCAGUCCCAGCUGCGCUCCAGCCGUAAGAAUGAUGAUGCCUAUGGACGAAUUUCACGAUGCAUGACAGAAAGGGGCCAUGACUGGGACACACUGCAUUGCAGGAUCAAAGUGAAGGAGCUGCGGAAUGCCUACCACAAGGCAUGGAAGACAAACUGCCAUUCUGGUGCUGCGCCCAUGAGCUGCCGGUUCUACAAAGAGCUGGACACGAUACUCAGUGACGACCCCACCUCCACUGCAAAAACCACUGUGGAUACUUCGGUGGCUCGUGCGCCAGUCGAGAGUGGACCGAGCCAGGAGGAGGAAACCUUGGACGAGGAUGUGGAAGGACCUAGAGGCAGAGGACGACUUGGAGGUCAGAGAUGCAUGCAGCCAAGAGCUCUUCUGUACCCUGGAGGAGGCUAGCCAAUCACAGCUGUCAGAGCUUGGUGAAGCACAAACAGGAGACCCCUGAUAUGACCCUGGGAGCCCAGCCUCCCUCUUUGUUAUCACCGGCUGAACGUCUACGCAGAAUUAGAAAGCAGCCACGAAGAACUAAAGAGGACUUCCUGCGUGAUGUCAUGAUGCGCUCCGUGGCCGAAAAACAAGAAUUGAAUUGAGUCCUCAGUUGUGGCAGGAUGAAGCCCUUAAGUAGCUUUUCUGCUCCCUUUACAUCUCUUCCUUCUAUCCCCUCGGCCUCUUACUCCUUCUCUCCCUUCCCUCGCUCUUUCACUCAGUUCCCUUCACUAGGCCUGCGUGAGGAGUGGAUAAUGUUUGGCAGGCCUAGCAAGCACUGUUCAAUCAAAGGCCAGUAUUUAAUGGGAUCUGAAAGACUUGCUCCUCCCAGCUGGUGACCCUCCUUUAACUUGGCAUUGACAUUAAUAAGAGCACAGGCGAACUCAGAUCUGCAAUACUGAAAACACAAAGGAGGCCUGAAUAAGAAACAUAUGAAAAAAUGAAGGCCACAUUAUUUGGAAAUCUGUAAAAUAUUGGAAAGGUGGUUUUUUGUGUGAGUGUGAACAGCGCAUUCUGGCAAGCACCAGGGGACUGAGAUGGGGCUUUGCAGUACUGUGAAAUACUUUCCAGAUAUCCACAUGGCCAGGCUUCAGAGCAGCUAGCCAGCCGGAGAAAGGGACUUGGAAAUUAAAGGUGUUUCAAGACAUAAAUGUCCUGGGCAUUUCUCUGGAAAUAGCUCUCUGAGUUUGCUAAUAAAACAACGGGCACUCAGAACGCUGGCUCUUAUCCAGCUGCCUACAAGAGGUGGGGGAAUUGCGUGCAGGGUAAUUGUAGUGUGGCAACAGGUGCUGGAUUGACAAUCCCGAGCAUGGAAAUCCUGGGUGUACUCCUCAGAGCAGGUACCUGUAUGGCACUGAAGGUAGCACCAACAGCUUCCCCCUCCCCAGCUCCCACCAUCCUGACUCUAACCUCAUAGGUAAGGCGCAGAAGGGAGAGACAAGGUCAGGCGCUAGGGCCCAUUCAAGGAAGUUAAUCAGUGCCGAUUGUUGUGGCCGAUUGUGAUGGCAGUUGUGAUGGUGGUUGUGCUGUGAACACCUAUCCAUUAGGAACUGCUUGCUCUCACCCUUGCUCCAGUCUUGCUCCCGCCCUGCCUCACUCCAGCUAACCUGGUUCGGACUCUUGGCUCCAAUUCCCAACCUCCAACAUCAGCUCUGGCCUUUGGUUCUGAUUCUGCCCCUAGGCUCUGACUCCUGACUCCGCUUGUGACCCUUGGCUCUAGCACCUGGCACCUGGCCUCUGACUCCAGCUUGACCCCGGGCUCCAAUUCCUGGCUCCCAACUCCUGCUCUAACUGCUAGGCAUAACUUCUGCUUUAACCACUAGGCACAACCGCCCACAUCCCAGUCUCUGACAGCAUCAUGUGAGUUCAGUCUGCUCUGCUGGAAGGGAAAGAACAAGUUAAAAAUUACUUAGACAAAUUAGAUGUCUUUACGUCACUGGGGCCUGAUGAAAUACAUCCUAGAAUACUCAGGUAGCUGCCUGAGGAGAUAUCUGAGCCAUUAGCAAUUAUCUUUGAAAAUUCAAGUAGGGGCAUUGCCAGCAGAUCGAGGGAUGUGAUCAUUCCCCUCUAUUCGACAUUGGUGAGGCCACAUCUGGAGUACUGUGUCCAGUUUUGGGCCCCACACUACAAGAAGGAUGUGGAAAAAUUGGAAAGAGUCCAGCGGAGGGCAACAAUGAGGAGAGGCUGAGGGAACUGGGCUUGUUUAGUCUGCAGAAGAGAAGAAUGAGGGGGGAUUUGAUAACUGCUUUCAACUACCUGAAAGGGGGUUCCAAACAGGAUGGAUCUAGACUGUUCUCAAUGGUACCAGAUGACAGAACAAGGAAUAAUGGUCUCAAGUUGCAGUGGGGGAGGUCUAGGUUGGAUAUUAGGAAAAACUAUUUCACUAGGAGGGUGGUGAAGCACUGGAAUGGGUUAAGCACUGGAAAAGGUGGUGGAAUCUCCUUCCUUAAUGGUUUUUAAGGUCAGGCUUGACAAAGCCCUGGCUGGGAUGAUUUCGUUGAGGAUUGGUCCUGCUUUGAGCAGGGGGUUGGAUUAGAUGACCUCCUGAGGUCCCUUCCAACCCUGAUAUUCUAUGAUUCUAUGAUAGAAGAGAUUCCAGAGGACUGGAAAAGGGCAAAUAUAGUGCCCAUCUAUAAAAAAGGGAAAAAGGACAACCCGGGGAAUUACAGACCAGUCAGCUUAACUUCAGUAUCUGGAAAGAUAAUGGAGCAAUCAAGCAAGCAAUUUGCAGACACCUAGAAGAUAAUAAGGUGAUAUGUAACAGUCAACAUGGAUUUGUCAAAAACAAAUCAUGUCAAACCAACCUAGCAACCUUUUUUGACAGGAUAACAAGUCUUGUGGAUAGGAGGAAAGCGGUAGCUGUGGUGUAUCUUGACUUUAGUAAGGCUUUUGAUACUGUACCGCGUGACCUCCUCAUAAAGAAACUAGGGAAAUAUAGCGUAGAUGGAGCUACUAUAAGGUGGGUGCAUAUCUGGUUGGAAAACCAUUCCCAGAGAGUAGUUAUCAGUGAUUCACCGUCAAGUUGGAACGGCAUAUCAAGUGUGGUCCUGCAAGAUUUAGAUAAU